This 495-nucleotide small RNA is filed under the name Pongo abelii (Sumatran orangutan). RNAcentral describes it as "retained intron". Lineage: Eukaryota; Metazoa; Chordata; Mammalia; Primates; Hominidae. The record is from RNAcentral.
CCUUCCUGGUGAAGACUGGCUACGCGUUCGUGGACUGCCCGGACGAGAGCUGGGCCCUCAAGGCCAUCGAGGCGCUUUCAGGUAAAAUAGAACUGCACGGGAAACCCAUAGAAGUUGAGCACUCGGUCCCAAAAAGGCAAAGGAUUCGGAAACUUCAGAUACGAAAUAUCCCGCCUCAUUUACAGUGGGAGGUGCUGGAUAGUUUACUAGUCCAGUAUGGAGUGGUGGAGAGCUGUGAGCAAGUGAACACUGACUCGGAAACUGCAGUUGUAAAUGUAACCUAUUCCAGUAAGGACCAAGCUAGACAGUAAGCAGCUUGAAGCUUUUAAUCUAUAUAUAAUAACUAAGUUAAGUACAGUAACAUAUUUUGCGGAUUUCAAUUGAGAAGGGCUGGUGGGUGGCAGAGAGAAACUUUAUUUUACAAAAUUUGACCCUGUAAUCGUGCCUUUCUUAAGUUUGAAUGUCUAGUAAAAAUCUACAUGGGUUAAACUUGUA